UUCCGGUUGAUCCCGCCGGACCUGACUGCUAUCGGAUUGAUACUAAGCCAUGCGAGUCAUUGUAGCAAUACAAGGCAGACGGCUCAGUAACGCGUAGUCAACCUACCCUAUGGACGGGAAUAACCUCGGGAAACUGAGAAUAAUGCCCGAUAGAACAUUAUGCCUGGAAUGGUUUAUGUUCCAAAUGAUUUAUCGCCGUAGGAUGGGACUGCGGCUUAUCAGUUUGUUGGUGAGGUAAUGGCCCACCAAGACUAUUACAGGUACGGGCUCUGAGAGGAGUGGCCCGGAGAUGGGUACUGAGACACGGACCCAGGCCCUAUGGGGCGCAGCAGGCGAGAAAACUUUGCAAUGUGCGAAAGCACGACAAGGUUAAUCCGAGUGGUUUCUGCUAAAGGAACCUUUUGACAGUCCUAGAAACACUGUUGAAUAAGGGGUGGGCAAGUUCUGGUGUCAGCCGCCGCGGUAAAACCAGCACCUCAAGUGGUCAGGAUGAUUAUUGGGCCUAAAGCAUCCGUAGCCGGCUCUGUAAGUUUUCGGUUAAAUCUAUACGCUCAACGUAUAGGCUGCCGGGAAUACUGCAGAGCUAGGGAGUGGGAGAGGUAGACGGUACUCGGUAGGAAGGGGUAAAAUCCUUUGAUCUAUUGAUGACCACCUGUGGCGAAGGCGGUCUACCAGAACACGUCCGACGGUGAGGGAUGAAAGCUGGGGGAGCAAACCGGAUUAGAUACCCGGGUAGUCCCAGCUGUAAACUAUGCAAACUCAGUGAUGCAUUGGCUUGUGGCCAAUGCAGUGCUGCAGGGAAGCCGUUAAGUUUGCCGCCUGGGAAGUACGUACGCAAGUAUGAAACUUAAAGGAAUUGGCGGGGGAGCACCACAAGGGGUGAAGCCUGCGGUUCAAUUGGAUUCAACGCCGGG
This 914-nucleotide ribosomal RNA is filed under the name uncultured Nitrososphaerota archaeon. RNAcentral describes it as "bacterial SSU rRNA". It matches the Rfam family "Archaeal small subunit ribosomal RNA", at positions 1 to 922 of the family's 1478-position model. Lineage: Archaea; Thermoproteati; Nitrososphaerota. The record is from RNAcentral.